RNAcentral lists this ribosomal RNA (70 nucleotides) under Andrographis paniculata. Its description in RNAcentral is "partial 28S ribosomal RNA". It matches the Rfam family "Eukaryotic large subunit ribosomal RNA", at positions 1 to 70 of the family's 3401-position model. The record is from RNAcentral. Lineage: Eukaryota; Viridiplantae; Streptophyta; Magnoliopsida; Lamiales; Acanthaceae.
CGACCUCAGGUCAGGCGGGGCUACCCGCUGAGUUUAAGCAUAUCAAUAAGCGGAGGAAAAGAAACUAACG